Molecule: ribosomal RNA, 301 nt
Filed under: uncultured bacterium
Lineage: Bacteria
Description: partial 16S ribosomal RNA
Rfam family: Bacterial small subunit ribosomal RNA
Source: RNAcentral
CAGUCGCCACGGGAAUACGUAGGGUGCAAGCGUUGUCCGGAAUUAUUGGGCGUAAAGAGCGUGUAGGCGGCUCGACAAGUCCGCUGUGAAAGUCCAGGGCUCAACCCUGGAAUGCCGGUGGAUACUGUCGAGCUAGAGUCCGGAAGGGGCGAGUGGAACUCCUGGUGUAGCGGUGAAAUGCGCAGAUAUCAGGAAGAACACCAAUGGCGAAGGCAGCUCGCUGGGACGUGACUGACGCUGAGACGCGAAAGCGUGGGGAGCGAACAGGAUUAGAUACCCCAGUAGUCCCUGUCUCUUAUAC